This 224-nucleotide long non-coding RNA is filed under the name Mytilus galloprovincialis (Mediterranean mussel). The record is from RNAcentral. Lineage: Eukaryota; Metazoa; Mollusca; Bivalvia; Mytilida; Mytilidae.
GUUUGUGAGAUCUCAACCCUCCCCCUAUACCUCUAACCAAUGUAGAAAAGUAAAUGCAUAACAAUACGCACAUUAAAAUUCAGUUCAAGAGAAGUCUGAAUCUGAUGUCAGAAGAUGUAACCAAAGAAAAUAAACAAAAUGACAAUAAUAUAUAAAUAACAACAGACUACUAGCAGUUAACUGACAUGCCAGCUCCAGACUUCAAUUAAACUGACUGAAAGAUU